GACGAACGCUGGCGGCGUGCUUAACACAUGCAAGUCGAACGGAAAGGCCCUGCUUUUGUGGGGUGCUCGAGUGGCGAACGGGUGAGUAACACGUGAGUAACCUGCCCUUGACUUUGGGAUAACUUCAGGAAACUGGGGCUAAUACCGGAUAGGAGCUCCUGCUGCAUGGUGGGGGUUGGAAAGUUUCGGCGGUUGGGGAUGGACUCGCGGCUUAUCAGCUUGUUGGUGGGGUAGUGGCUUACCAAGGCUUUGACGGGUAGCCGGCCUGAGAGGGUGACCGGCCACAUUGGGACUGAGAUACGGCCCAGACUCCUACGGGAGGCAGCAGUGGGAAUAUUGCACAAUGGGCGGAAGCCUGAUGCAGCAACGCCGCGUGCGGGAUGACGGCCUUCGGGUUGUAAACCGCUUUCGCCUGUGACGAAGCGUGAGUGACGGUAAUGGGUAAAGAAGCACCGGCUAACUACGUGCCAGCAGCCGCGGUGAUACGUAGGGUGCGAGCGUUGUCCGGAUUUAUUGGGCGUAAAGGGCUCGUAGGUGGUUGAUCGCGUCGGAAGUGUAAUCUUGGGGCUUAACCCUGAGCGUGCUUUCGAUACGGGUUGACUUGAGGAAGGUAGGGGAGAAUGGAAUUCCUGGUGGAGCGGUGGAAUGCGCAGAUAUCAGGAGGAACACCAGUGGCGAAGGCGGUUCUCUGGGCCUUUCCUGACGCUGAGGAGCGAAAGCGUGGGGAGCGAACAGGCUUAGAUACCCUGGUAGUCCACGCUGUAAACGGUGGGUACUAGGUGUGGGGUCCAUUCCACGGGUUCCGUGCCGUAGCUAACGCUUUAAGUACCCCGCCUGGGGAGUACGGCCGCAAGGCUAAAACUCAAAGGAAUUGACGGGGCCCCGCACAAGCGGCGGAGCAUGCGGAUUAAUUCGAUGCAACGCGUAGAACCUUACCUGGGUUUGACAUGGAUCGGAAGCGCUCAGAGAUGGGUGUGCCUCUUUUGGGGUCGGUUCACAGGUGGUGCAUGGCUGUCGUCAGCUCGUGUCGUGAGAUGUUGGGUUAAGUCCCGCAACGAGCGCAACCCUUGUUCACUGUUGCCAGCACGUUAUGGUGGGGACUCAGUGGAGACCGCCGGGGUCAACUCGGAGGAAGGUGGGGAUGACGUCAAGUCAUCAUGCCCCUUAUGUCCAGGGCUUCACGCAUGCUACAAUGGCUGGUACAGAGAGUGGCGAGCCUGUGAGGGUGAGCGAAUCUCGGAAAGCCGGUCUCAGUUCGGAUUGGGGUCUGCAACUCGACCUCAUGAAGUCGGAGUCGCUAGUAAUCGCAGAUCAGCAACGCUGCGGUGAAUACGUUCCCGGG
Molecule: ribosomal RNA, 1342 nt
Filed under: uncultured bacterium
Lineage: Bacteria
Description: 16S ribosomal RNA
Rfam family: Bacterial small subunit ribosomal RNA
Source: RNAcentral